Molecule: ribosomal RNA, 483 nt
Filed under: uncultured bacterium
Lineage: Bacteria
Description: partial 16S ribosomal RNA
Rfam family: Bacterial small subunit ribosomal RNA
Source: RNAcentral
AUUGAACGCUGGCGGCAGGCCUAACACAUGCAAGUCGAGCGGAUGAAGGGAGCUUGCUCCUGGAUUCAGCGGCGGACGGGUGAGUAAUGCCUAGGAAUCUGCCUGGUAGUGGGGGAUAACGUCCGGAAACGGGCGCUAAUACCGCAUACGUCCUGAGGGAGAAAGUGGGGGAUCUUCGACCUCACGCUAUCAGAUGAGCCUAGGUCGGAUUAGCUAGUUGGUGGGGUAAAGGCCUACCAAGGCGACGAUCCGUAACUGGUCUGAGAGGAUGAUCAGUCACACUGGAACUGAGACACGGUCCAGGCUCCUACGGGAGGCAGCAGUGGGGAAUAUUGGACAAUGGGCGAAAGCCUGAUCCAGCCAUGCCGCGUGUGUGAAGAAGGUCUUCGGAUUGUAAAGCACUUUAAGUUGGGAGGAAGGGCAGUAAGUUAAUACCUUGCUGUUUUGACGUUACCAACAGAAUAAGCACCGGCUAACUUCGUG